RNAcentral lists this transfer RNA (74 nucleotides) under Gossypium hirsutum (cotton). It matches the Rfam family "tRNA". Rfam says of the family: Transfer RNA (tRNA) molecules are approximately 80 nucleotides in length. Lineage: Eukaryota; Viridiplantae; Streptophyta; Magnoliopsida; Malvales; Malvaceae. The record is from Rfam by way of RNAcentral.
CGCAGGAUAGAGCAGUUUGGUAGCUCGCAAGGCUCAUAACCUUGAGGUCAUGGGUUCAAAUACCGUUCCCUCAA